GACGAACGCUGGCGGCGUGCUUAACACAUGCAAGUCGAACGGAAAGGCCCUGCUUUUGUGGGGUGCUCGAGUGGCGAACGGGUGAGUAACACGUGAGUAACCUGCCCUUGACUUUGGGAUAACUUCAGGAAACUGGGGCUAAUACCGGAUAGGAGCUCCUGCUGCAUGGUGGGGGUUGGAAAGUUUCGGCGGUUGGGGAUGGACUCGCGGCUUAUCAGCUUGUUGGUGGGGUAGUGGCUUACCAAGGCUUUGACGGGUAGCCGGCCUGAGAGGGUGACCGGCCACAUUGGGACUGGGAUACGGCCCAGACUCCUACGGGAGGCAGCAGUGGGGAAUAUUGCACAAUGGGCGGAAGCCUGAUGCAGCAACGCCGCGUGCGGGAUGACGGUCUUCGGGUUGUAAACCGCUGUCGCCUGUGACGAAGCGUGAGUGACGGUAAUGGGUAAAGAAGCACCGGCUAACUACGUG
This 468-nucleotide ribosomal RNA is filed under the name uncultured bacterium. RNAcentral describes it as "partial 16S ribosomal RNA". It matches the Rfam family "Bacterial small subunit ribosomal RNA", at positions 28 to 507 of the family's 1533-position model. The record is from RNAcentral.